This 253-nucleotide ribosomal RNA is filed under the name uncultured bacterium. RNAcentral describes it as "partial 16S ribosomal RNA". It matches the Rfam family "Bacterial small subunit ribosomal RNA", at positions 524 to 776 of the family's 1533-position model. The record is from RNAcentral.
UACGUAGGGACCAAGCGUUGUUCGGAUUUACUGGGCGUAAGGGGCGCGUAGGCGGCGUGACAAGUCACUUGUGAAAUCUCCGGGCUUAACUCGGAACGGUCAAGUGAUACUGUUGUGCUAGAGUACAGAAGGGGCAAUCGGAAUUCUUGGUGUAGCGGUGAAAUGCGUAGAUAUCAAGAGGAACACCAGAGGCGAAGGCGGAUUGCUGGGCUGAUACUGACGCUGAGGCGCGAAAGCUAGGGUAGCAAACGGG